RNAcentral lists this ribosomal RNA (460 nucleotides) under uncultured bacterium. RNAcentral's name for it is "partial 16S ribosomal RNA". It matches the Rfam family "Bacterial small subunit ribosomal RNA", at positions 338 to 795 of the family's 1533-position model. The record is from RNAcentral.
CCUACGGGAGGCAGCAGUGAGGAAUAUUGGUCAAUGGGCGCGAGCCUGAACCAGCCAAGUAGCGUGAAGGAUGACUGCCCUACGGGUUGUAAACUUCUUUUAUAAAGGAAUAAAGUGAGGCACGUGUGCCUUUUUGUAUGUACUUUACGAAUAAGGAUCGGCUAACUCCGUGCCAGCAGCCGCGGUAAUACGGAGGAUCCGAGCGUUAUCCGGAUUUAUUGGGUUUAAAGGGUGCGUAGAUGGGUUGGUAAGUCAGUGGUGAAAGUUUGCGGCUCAACCGUAAAAUUGCAAUUGAUACUGGCAGUCUUGAGUGCAGUUGAGGUAGGCGGAAUGCGUGGUGUAGCGGUGAAAUGCUUAGAUAUCACGAAGAACUCCGAUUGCGAAGGCAGCUUACUAAGCUGCCACUGACAUUGAUGCUCGAAAGUGUGGGUAGCAAACAGGAUUAGAUACCCUUGUAGUC